Molecule: ribosomal RNA, 246 nt
Filed under: uncultured bacterium
Lineage: Bacteria
Description: partial 16S ribosomal RNA
Rfam family: Bacterial small subunit ribosomal RNA
Source: RNAcentral
UACGUAGGGGGCAAGCGUUGUCCGGAAUCAUUGGGCGUAAAGAGCGCGUAGGCGGCCCUGUAAGUCCGCUGUGAAAGUCAAGGGCUCAACCCUUGAAUGCCGGUGGAUACUGCAGGGCUAGAGUCCGGAAGAGGCGAGUGGAAUUCCUGGUGUAGCGGUGAAAUGCGCAGAUAUCAGGAGGAACACCGAUGGCGAAGGCAGCUCGCUGGGACGGUACUGACGCUGAGGCGCGAAAGCAUGGGGAGC